Molecule: long non-coding RNA, 1779 nt
Organism: Oncorhynchus masou masou (cherry salmon)
Lineage: Eukaryota; Metazoa; Chordata; Actinopteri; Salmoniformes; Salmonidae
Exons: 2
Source: RefSeq, a predicted model, not a curated record
GGCAACUAUACUGAUGCAUAUACCUUUUGCAGAUAGUUGCAUGCGGUUGGACACAUGGAGGAGAGAAUCAUUUUCGCAGUAUCCUCAAAACCGUGUCUUUUUUACACAACUGCUGGCAGCGAUAGGGACAUAAACACAAAAAAAAAUGCUACUUGGAGACAAGUGUCCACGAUAGUAGGAUUGCCAGGUCAGUUUAGCAGUGAGCUUGUGCUAGAUGUGGCUAGCUAACCUAGCCAAUGAGGUGUGUGUGUGAAAUAAAUAGUCAAAUAAAUUAUGCUAGUUACUACCCCUGAUAACUUUACCAAAUAAUCGUGUUUGAAAGAGUGUGAGUGUAUGCUAGAUUAAUAGAAAUUGUAGAUACUACUGUACCCCUGAUAAUUUGGUCAGAUAACCGUGUGUGUGUGUACAGUAGGUGACAUGUCCAUGAUAGCUAUCUAAUAACUAUAGUUAUGCUAGGUAAUGGGUUGGCUUAUCAUGUUCAUGUCUAUGUAGCAGAAAACUGUAAGAGGAAGUGGAUAGGACUCAGGGACAGGUAUCAGAGAGAGAGAGAGAAGGGCAGAGAAAGAGAAGAAGAGGUCUGGGUCAGCAGCCACAUUCUUUCUUUUCUGGAUCCAUUUAUUGUGCCUAGGGCAAUGAGUGGCAAUUUUACAGCCAGACCCUCUACUACGUCAUCCACAAGUCUUGUCCCCACCGGUGCAUCAAGACCCUCUACAACGUCUACAUCAUCCACGAGUAUGACCACCACCAGUGCAGUCAUGGAAGAUUAUGAAAUGGAGGAAGCACCUCUGGAUCUAGGACCACCUGAGAUUAUUAUGAACCUCACGGAAGUGACCGCUGAGGACCUCGUUGAACAGCAUGUGGCCCGUGGAGAGAAACGAAGAGGAACAACAUCUGUAGCAGCCCCCAGAUCCACUCAACUCAUUUCAGCAGAGGCUCCUCCAAGCUGUCGAGAGGGAUGCAGCCCAACCUGAUGCUCACAGGAAGGAGGAUGAAGAGACCCUCUUUGCCAUGAGCCUAGUUCCAACCCUGGAGAGGCUGCCUUAGCAAAGAAAAGCAGCAGAAAUGGAGUCAAUUUAGCCAACCAGCUCACAGGAAGGACAGGAAGAGGAGUUGUCUGGUUGUUGUUUUGACCUCCCUCAUUCUACCUUUCUUUUCACAUACGUCAGUUCCGUUUCAAUUCAGUCAAUUCAUAAAGUCAUUUCUUUAUAAAGUCUUAGGAUAGCAUUCAUUAUUAGUGUUACAUAGAUUUCUGAAUUGAAACUCGCACACCGGAGAAUUCACAGAUCCCUUGUUGGUCUCUUACGAGACUAAAGGUGAAUAUAUUUCUUUCAUUUAAAAGCACUUGAAAACCAGUGUGUUGAAACUGUUUGUGAAGUUAUGUUCCAUCGACUGGUCCAUGACGUCCAGGGGCCAUUUGUUUGUUUAGCUAUGUUAUGGUUACACCUUAUUUUUACAGAGACACACACCUCUUCUCCACUCCUCUCUGUCCCCCAGAUCUCCAGUGCCCUGCCCUCUCUCUUUAUGGCCAUGUCUGAAGUUCCCCUACUAUGUCUAGUCUUUAUGAGUUGUCCCUGUAUCUGUCUGCAGUUGUGCCAAAAAUACAUGCUCUUGUUGUUCUCUUACAGAUUACAGGCUACACAUUCAUUUGAUGUAUUUUUUACAUGCGCACACACACACAUCUUUUAAUAGAUCUAUUUUUUUUAAACAUUUUUAUAACACACAUACCUGUCAUGUUCUUUCCUGUACUUGAAUACUAAUUAAAUAAUGUUUUCAUAGUCA